This 299-nucleotide ribosomal RNA is filed under the name Acinetobacter baumannii. Its description in RNAcentral is "partial 16S ribosomal RNA". It matches the Rfam family "Bacterial small subunit ribosomal RNA", at positions 413 to 703 of the family's 1533-position model. Lineage: Bacteria; Pseudomonadati; Pseudomonadota; Gammaproteobacteria; Moraxellales; Moraxellaceae. The record is from RNAcentral.
GGCCUUAUGGUUGUAAAGCACUUUAAGCGAGGAGGAGGCUACUUUAGUUAAUACCUAGAGAUAGUGGACGUUACUCGCAGAAUAAGCACCGGCUAACUCUGUGCCAGCAGCCGCGGUAAUACAGAGGGUGCGAGCGUUAAUCGGAUUUACUGGGCGUAAAGCGUGCGUAGGCGGCUUAUUAAGUCGGAUGUGAAAUCCCCGAGCUUAACUUGGGAAUUGCAUUCGAUACUGGUGAGCUAGAGUAUGGGAGAGGAUGGUAGAAUUCCAGGUGUAGCGGUGAAAUGCGUAGAGAUCUGGAG